AAGGCAAAGCCAAGAAGAACUACUCCAUGUGGUGGAUUGCGUGCGCGGGGAAGAUCGCCAGAAAGUUUGUGGUUUCUCUCUACAGCGACCAGGAACAUCGCAGUAAAGGUGAUGGCGAUUGCAGAACACCGUAAAAGAAUAGCCUUGGAAGGAUUGCCCCUCUACCUCAGGGAGGACCCAACAAGUCUUUUCAAGAAAUGUCUGGAUACAGAUGCUGAGGAAGACUACACCAAAGGUGUGAAAAUUGGGAUCCUCACAGUGAAAGAAGAUGGCGUUGCAGCAGUCGAGUCUCUUCCUGCGGUAAUCAACACAGCCAUCAUUUUGGAAGAGACUGUUGUUCUCCAGGAUAUUAAGGAUGUACCAU
Alosa alosa (allis shad) is the source of this 364-nucleotide long non-coding RNA. RefSeq lists it as uncharacterized. The transcript is spliced from 3 exons. The record is from RefSeq and is a predicted model, not a curated record. Lineage: Eukaryota; Metazoa; Chordata; Actinopteri; Clupeiformes; Clupeidae.